UACAGAGGUCUCAAGCGUUGUUCGGAUUCAUUGGGCGUAAAGGGUGCGUAGGCGGCGCGGUAAGUCGGGUGUGAAAUCUCGGAGCUUAACUCCGAAACUGCAUUCGAUACUGCCGUGCUUGAGGACUGGAGAGGAGACUGGAAUUUACGAUGUAGCGGUGAAAUGCGUAGAUAUCGUAAGGAAGACCAGUGGCGAAGGCGGGUCUCUGGACAGUUCCUGACGCUGAGGCACGAAGGCCAGGGGAGCAAACGGG
This 253-nucleotide ribosomal RNA is filed under the name uncultured bacterium. RNAcentral describes it as "partial 16S ribosomal RNA". It matches the Rfam family "Bacterial small subunit ribosomal RNA", at positions 524 to 776 of the family's 1533-position model. The record is from RNAcentral.